GGUGAAACCUGCCCAGUGCGCUAGUAAACGGCCGCAGUACCUUGACUGUGCUAAGGUAGCAUAAUCAGUUGGCUUUUAAAUGGAGUCGGGUAUGAAUGGGACAAUGUGGCUAAGCUGUCUUUUUUCUACUAAAUUUAAUUUACUUAUCAGGUGAAAAUUCCUGAAUUUCUAAGAAAAUAGACGAGAAGACCCUAGGAGUUUUAAUUAAUGUUAUUUUUUUAUUAACUUGUGUUUUUGUUGGGGCGACAGAAGGAAAAAACAUGAUCUCCUUUUAUAAAUAAGCCGACUAAGUAAGAAAAAAUAAACUACCCUAGGGAUAACAGCGUAAUCUAUUAUUAGGUUUGCGACCUCGAUGUUGGACUAGGAUUUAUUUAGGUUAGCCGCCUAAUUUUAUUGUUCUGUUCGAACUUCAAUUCCU
Molecule: ribosomal RNA, 418 nt
Filed under: Costasiella sp. 1 cf. kuroshimae JEV-2014
Lineage: Eukaryota; Metazoa; Mollusca; Gastropoda; Costasiellidae
Description: partial 16S ribosomal RNA
Rfam family: Archaeal large subunit ribosomal RNA
Source: RNAcentral